RNAcentral lists this ribosomal RNA (252 nucleotides) under uncultured bacterium. Its description in RNAcentral is "partial 16S ribosomal RNA". It matches the Rfam family "Bacterial small subunit ribosomal RNA", at positions 100 to 354 of the family's 1533-position model. The record is from RNAcentral.
GACGGGUGAGUAACGCGUGGGUAACCUGCCUUGCACUGGGGGAUAACACUUAGAAAUAGGUGCUAAUACCGCAUAACAGUAGGAGACGCAUGUCUUUUACUUGAAAACUCCGGUGGUGUAAGAUGGACCCGCGUCUGAUUAGCUUGUUGGCGGGGUAACGGCCCACCAAGGCAACGAUCAGUAGCCGGCCUGAGAGGGUGAACGGCCACAUUGGGACUGAGACACGGCCCAAACUCCUACGGAAGGCAGCAG